CAAUAGCGUAUAUUAAAGUUGUUGCAGUUAAAAAGCUCGUAGUUGGAUUUCUGGUUGAAGCGACCGGUCGGGCGUUGAUUCGUCUGCACUGGAGUCGGUUUUGGCCAUCCUCUAGGAAAGUGCGUCUGGUAUUAAGUUAUCGGGCGUAUGAUCCUGGUCUUUUACUGUGAAAAAAUUAGAGUGUUUAAAGCAGGCCUUCGCCUUGAAUACAUUAGCAUGGAAUAAUAAGAUAGGACUUUGGUCUAUUUUGUUGGUUUGCAGACCGAAGUAAUGAUUAAUAGGGAUAGUUGGGGGUAUUUAUAUUCCGAUGUCAGAGGUGAAAUUCUCAGAUUUUCGGAAGAUAAACUUAUGCGAAAGCAUUUACCAAGGAUGUUUUCAUUAA
RNAcentral lists this ribosomal RNA (382 nucleotides) under uncultured eukaryote. RNAcentral describes it as "partial 18S ribosomal RNA". It matches the Rfam family "Eukaryotic small subunit ribosomal RNA", at positions 592 to 976 of the family's 1831-position model. The record is from RNAcentral.